CCGACGAAAGAGCUUUACAACCCANAGGNCUUCUUCACUCACGCGGCAUCGCUGCAUCAGAGUUUCCUCCAUUGUGCAAGAUUCCCCACUGCUGCCUCCCGUAGGGA
Molecule: ribosomal RNA, 107 nt
Filed under: uncultured bacterium
Lineage: Bacteria
Description: partial 16S ribosomal RNA
Source: RNAcentral